AAGAAUAUGGAGAAGAAAAAGUAAUUCAAUCAAUUGUGUAGUAAUAUAUCAUGACUUUCCUAAUAUACAUCUGUGAUUUCCAUGUACAAUACAAAGAUUAAAAAGCCAAAAAGAAGAAAAAGAAAUGUAUAAUAAUCAAACUUAGCUGCAAAAACUUGGGCAUUUGGAGACACAUGAUGAAGGCAGGAAGUAUGGUCUAACGAUCAAUAAAGUCGAUAACAGUUUGACAAUUUCCUUCACACAUGCUAAAUCUCGGUGAACAGAGCUAUUAGUUAAAAUGCGCAUAAACUAACCAGAACAGAACAUGAAAAAUUAAUUGUGUAGAGGAUUUGGUCCUCCGGGAACCAUUCGAUGUGAAACUCUAUAACUCUCAUCAUUUCUUGAUAGUUUUGGAGCUGGUGCUGAACUGUGCCAUGAAAAUCUUGAAUUGAAUCUUUGAUUUGUACUUGUUGGAGUGAUUUCUUGGAUAUUUCUACAACUUGAUAGUUGACUAAUAGAGAUUAUUAUUGCAAAUAUAAGUAGAAAUUGGAAAGAAAGAUAGUGAAUUUUCAUGAUUGUGAUUAUAUGAAGUAGAAGAAGAAAUAUUAGAAAUGGAUUUGUUAUUGAGUUUUCUUCACUUUUUGUUGAAUGGUGACAAGUCUUGUAUUAAUGUUGUGUUUUAAAGAAGC
RNAcentral lists this long non-coding RNA (668 nucleotides) under Capsicum annuum. RNAcentral describes it as "long non-coding RNA (CANN_LNC000062)". Lineage: Eukaryota; Viridiplantae; Streptophyta; Magnoliopsida; Solanales; Solanaceae. The record is from RNAcentral.